RNAcentral lists this ribosomal RNA (245 nucleotides) under uncultured bacterium. RNAcentral describes it as "partial 16S ribosomal RNA". It matches the Rfam family "Bacterial small subunit ribosomal RNA", at positions 524 to 767 of the family's 1533-position model. The record is from RNAcentral.
UACGUAGGGCGCGAGCGUUACUCGGAAUCACUGGGCAUAAAGGGCGUGUAGGCGGAUGUGUAAGUCUGGUGUGAAAUCCCCCGGCUCAACCGGGGACUGCCAUCAGAUACUGCAUAUCUUGAGUGCGGGAGGGGAGAGUGGAACUCUUGGUGGAGCGGUGAAAUGCGUAGAUAUCAAGAGGAACGCCGGUGGCGAAAGCGACUCUCUGGCCCGCUUACUGACGCUGAGGCGCGAAAGCCAGGGGA